Molecule: RNA transcript, 4610 nt
Organism: Panicum hallii
Lineage: Eukaryota; Viridiplantae; Streptophyta; Magnoliopsida; Poales; Poaceae
Exons: 6
Source: RefSeq, a predicted model, not a curated record
CCCACUACGAAACUGGAACGGCGAAACCCAAACCCACGCGAAGAACCCAAGCAAGCGCCCCCACGCCACCGCGAUCCCCCUCCCCGAAUUCCCCACCCCGCCAUGCCCGACUCCGCCGAUCCCCUCACCUCGCCGGAUCCGGACAUGCCGCCGCGGAAGCCCCUCGCCGGCGGCGGCGGCAAGCUCAAGAAGCCCCUCACCGAGAAGCAGCGCGCCGCCGCGGAGCAGCGCCUGGCCCACCUCCGCGCCCAUCUCCUCCUCCGCCCCCUCGACUCCCCCGCCGCCGGGGCCCCGGCCCUCCCCCCGCCCCACGAGGCGGCACUCCGCGCGCUCGGCCUCCUCGGCUUCGCCCGCCUCGACCUGCACUCCGACGCCCCGCGGCCCGACCUCGUCGCCUCGCUCGUCGCCUUCUACGACCCGGUCUGCAAGCGCAGCUUCGUCCGCGGCGUCCGCGUCGCCGUCUCCCGGCACGACCUCGCCCGCGCUCUCUCCCUCCCGCCGAAGCCCGCCUCCGCGGCGGCGGCGCCGCCCGAUGUGGACCCUGCCGCGGUGGCGCCCGCGGUCAUGCAGCUCCUGCAGGAUUAUGUCCUGCUUCCGUUCCAGGGCGACGACAUGUGUAUACUACCGCAGGAGGUCGCCGCCGCGGAGCAGGCUGUCAGGGAGGGGUCAGCGCAUAGGGUUGACUGGGCGGGCCUGAUCUGGGGCCUCGUGGAGAAGGAGUUGCUUGAGCUUCCCAAGAGGGACGAUGGGGUUUGCUACUUCGGGCCGCAUCUGCAGAGGCUCAUCUGGGCGCAGAAGCCGAACCUGUUUGAGCCGUUGGACGGUGGGGAGAGAGGGGAGGCUGUUCCAGAGGCGUCUGUGGAUGUGGAGAUGGACGAGGAGGAUGGGGAUGCUGAUAUCGAUGUGAAAGCCAAGAGCUUGGUGGAGCUGGAGGUGGUAGAUGCAGAUGCAGAUGCGGAUAUGGAUGCGGGGGGCAAGAGCUUGGAGGAGUCAGUAUCGGGGAAUGCUGAUGUGAGGAGUGGGGGCUUGGACGAGUUGGAGCCGGGGGAUGCUGUUACAAGGAACAAUGUCUUGGAGAAGAUGGGUUUGGGCGAUGCAGAUGCCAAGAACAAUAUAGAGGAAUUGGAGGUGGUUGAUGAAGAUGCAAGGAGCAAAAGCUUGGAUAAAUCUGAGGCUGUUGAUGAGGAUGUUAGAAGCAAGAGCGUAGAUGAACCAGAGGCGGUGGAUGAGGAUGUGAGGAGCAAGAGCUUAGAUGAAUUGGAGGAUGCGGAUGAGGGUGUUAAGGAUAAGAGCUUGGAUGAAUCUGGGACGUUGGAUGGGCACGCAAACAGCACAAACCUGGACGGAUUGUGUUUGGAGUUUGGGGCAGUUGAAGCAGUGCUGGCUGAGGCGAUGCCUGACGUCAAAGAGGAUGCAGGGAAUGCAGAACCAGCAGGGGCUGAUGAUGUGGCAGUGGCUGCAGAAGAGGACAGCGAAGAGCCCUUGGUGGAUGCCGGAGUUGUGACACAGGAGGAAGUGGUGGCUGUAGCAGAGGAGGUGGGAGAUGAUGAGGGUGAGGAUGAAGAGAAUGAUGCAAUGGGGUUGAGCUUGGGUUUUAACUCUACAAACGGUUAUGAUAGUAUGGAUGUGGAAGAGGAAACACAUGUUGAAAAUCUGGAUGAGGGUGUCAGUGACAAUGAAGAGGCGGAGGAGUCAGAGGAUGAUGCAUAUGAGGAGGAUAAUGGUGGAGAGGACAUGAAUUGGAGAAUUGGGGAUGACAACGGGGAUGAGGGAAUGACACACUCCUUGCAGCGCUGUAAUACAUUUGGGGGCAUGGAGUUUGAGAAUUUGAAUAAAGGGGAGGCCGAGAUGAGGGAUGAGUUGGGGUUUGACGAUUUCUCUGCAAGGGGAUCUUUGGAAAGGAUGACAUCAUCAAACCUCCUCCAAGCUAUGAACUCAAUUCCCUCAUCGUACAACAUAACAGAUAAUGUGCAUGGCCUAUCUGGAGAAUUCUUGUCUAUGGGGGCUGAUGCACAUAAGAGUGGAGUGGACCUGGAACCAGGGAGCUCAUAUUUAUUUGGGAAUAAUGGCAAGAGGCACAUUGGUGAUAUUGAUGGGUACAAUGGCAAUAUGCAGGCACAAGAGCAGUUUCCUCAGUGCAAUCAGCAAAAGAGGAUGCGCCAUAGCAACAGUAGCAGCAUAUCACCCGCAUCAGGCUUUUUCAAUGCAAACUUUUCAGUACCUAUACAGAACUUGAUGGUUGAGGCAAGCAGACUCUAUGAGCAGAAGGAGCAAGAACUUCAAAGUUUGCAGUUUGAGAAACAACAUUGGUCUGACAUGCUGCAGCAGAAAGAAGCACUUAUCCAAUCCCUAAACUCAGCUCGGUUUGAGCAACAGAAUAAGUAUCAAGCGGAGCUUAGACGCUUCGAGCAUGAUCUGAAUGUUAUGGCCCAGUUGGUCACUUCCUACAAAAAAGCUUUGAAACACACCCGGGCUUCUUUUGAUGAAUACAGGAAGAAAUUCCCUUGCAACAAGCCUCUUUAUGGCGAUGUUACUGGUGGUGGCGGUCUUGUUCUUAGUGUGAAGGAGUUGGAGAGGAUUCGGUUUGAGGAGGAGCAACGGAAACUUGCUGCGGCAAAUGAAGUGAUUGACAAAUUCCAGCAUGAAUGGUUCUUAAAGCUUGAUGAGUGGAGCCUUUCUGUCAACUCACUGUGGAGCAGAAUGGAAGGAUUGUACAAGGAGAUUGAUCUUCUCAAGGAAAGCAGAAGAGCAAGAUUUGCUACCCCAGCUACAGAGGAAUGAGUUUCCUGACGGUCAGAGGUUCAGCUGUGAAGAUGGUCCCAGCUACUGCCUUACCCUUCUGCUGAAUGUUUUGAUGUCAACGAGAACACGUCAGCAGUUGUGGCUACCUGGUGGCUUUCGGAUGCGAAGAGUGCUGGUUCGUGGAAGCACAGCAACUUCAGCUUGACUGCGGACAUAAUAUUUCGCAGCAGGGGCAGCUAGAACAUAGCACAAGCUUCGUUGAAAAGAAAGAAGAAACAGCAAAGGAAACUCGCCAUGGAUGCAGUUGGCUCAGUUGCCACUUCAUUUGGAGAUCAAUUGGAUCUUCUUGGACACUAACUGAUAGAAUUGCAUAUCAGAUCGAGAAUGGGAUUCAAAGUUGCUUCUGCCACAGGUUCGUCAUGUGCUCAUCUCCUUGGGAGGAGAUGACAGCUCGAGCCAAAGUUUAUUGAAAGUACCGAGUCCUCACACAUACACGCCUCUUGUCUAUCUCAAGAUGGACUGCUCUUGUGGCAGGCGUAGUAGGCCUUGCCUAACGUUCCAAAUAACCUAGCCAAACGUCUCUUCAGCCAGGAACAGGAUAUUGGAAUCUCUCGGACUGGCCAUACAGCUGCUCUACUCUUGUUCCGUGCGAACAAGCAAAAGCUUUGCAUGUCAAGGUCUUAGAAGAUGAUGCAAGAAGCACACAAGUUUCCUUACACGACAUGGGCACUAAGCGUGACAAGAGCAGGAUUAAGAGAAAAGAAAGCCUAAACAGGUGGCUGUACAGAAUGACCAAAACCUGAACUGAAUGACAGAAACAGAAGUAGCAUAGAGCUUCAACAGGUAGCUGUACAGCACCAAAACCUGAACUGAAUGACAGAAACAGAAGUAGCAUAGAGCUUAAACAGGUAGCUGACCAAAACCUGAACUGAAUGACAGAAACAGAAGUAACAUAAAGCCUAAACAGGUAGCUGUACGAAUGACCAAAAUCGGAACUGAAUGACAGAAACAGAAGUAACAUGAAGGGGCAACCUAAUUGAAAUGAAGGGAUCAACACGGAAAUAACGAAGGUAACAUCCAUCUGUUAAUGCAAGAAUUAGGAAAUUAUAGUUGGUUAGGGGAUGGAGAAGAAGCAGGAUAAAGAUUUGGAUAAAGGUUUCAGUAGAUUGACAAAGUUCAACUGAGAGAUCAUGCAUUCAGAGUUUCAGAUUCAAAAUCAAAGACUUGAGCAGACUUUUUCCAUCCUCUGUGUUUGAUCAAACAGACAUUAUGGGAUCAAAACAAUUUAAUCAAACACUUGAUUGAUAAAGAAGAUCCUUACGUUGUGCAAGUAUCAAGUAGUUUUACGACGUCACUAGUGUUACCGUCAGCUCCUUCCUUGGCCUCCUCGGGAUUACUCAAUUCCGUUGAUGUGGAGGCAAGUUCUGUUUAUAUUUUGUUUGGGGAAGAUUUGUUCAUAUUUUCAUCCAUGUUAGUCUCUUAUUCCGUGCAGUCCAUGUACGUAUAUCUGCGUAAAAACGCCUUCUUGUGAAGCUUCCUACUCAGCUCUGUUUGAUAUGAGCUCGCCAUGGCCAUUUCUUGAUACAACUCGUCGGCUACGCACCUGCACGGCCCUACCAUUUUUCAUCUUAUUUUUGUUGCUCAUGCCAAGGUAUAAUUCUGGGAACACGCCUGAUGUUUCUGACAUGACUUGGGGCCUGUUUAUAAAGUUCGAAUUCGUACCAUGUGAACUUGUGGUACCGUGUGGUCGUGCAACCUUGGACAAAUUGGUCACAAGCUAGGCAAGAUUUCACAAGAACUGCUGGGGUGUUGAUAAAAUUUGAUACCCUAAGUUAAAUGUCAAAUACUCCCUCCGUUUUUUCUUGUCA